Molecule: unclassified non-coding RNA, 294 nt
Filed under: Hevea brasiliensis (rubber tree)
Lineage: Eukaryota; Viridiplantae; Streptophyta; Magnoliopsida; Malpighiales; Euphorbiaceae
Source: RNAcentral
AUUUCUUGGGCAAUCCAGGAUUGUGUGGUUCAAUUGUACAGCAUUCUUGUUCUGAUCAACCACAAAUUACCAAUCCUAUUCCUGAAGAAUCCUCAGAAAACACAGUUGUUUUUGGACUCAUUGCUGGACUAGCUUUUGGAUUUGUUGUUGGAUCUACCACUGGGUUACUUUACCCCAUCCACAGGCUAAAGUUCCUGCAGAAGUUAAUUGGGUUCCUUCAUCCAAAUGAACACAGAAAGUCAUCCAUAUCACCUUUGUAUGCCUCUUCAUAAAGCUGAAUUCCAUUUAUACAUA